GACAGAGGGUGCAAACGGUGUUCGGAAUUACUGGGCGUAAAGCGCGUGUAGGCGGCGCGGAAAGUCGGAUGUGAAAGCCCUGGGCUUAACCUGGGAAGUGCAUUCGAAACUGCCGUGCUUGAGUUCUGGAGAGGAAGGCGGAAUUCUCGGUGUAGAGGUGAAAUUCGUAGAUAUCGAGAGGAACACCGGUGGCGAAGGCGGCCUUCUGGACAGUGACUGACGCUGAGACGCGAAAGCGUGGGGAGCAAACAGG
Molecule: ribosomal RNA, 253 nt
Filed under: uncultured bacterium
Lineage: Bacteria
Description: partial 16S ribosomal RNA
Rfam family: Bacterial small subunit ribosomal RNA
Source: RNAcentral